This 74-nucleotide transfer RNA is filed under the name Metarhizium acridum. RNAcentral describes it as "tRNA-Val". RNAcentral also lists the same sequence under 1 other name. The record is from RNAcentral. Lineage: Eukaryota; Fungi; Ascomycota; Sordariomycetes; Hypocreales; Clavicipitaceae.
GGUUUCAUGGUCUAGUUGGUCAUGAUUUCUCGCUAACACCGAGAAGGUCCCCGGUUCGAGCCCGGGUGAAACCA